This 70-nucleotide transfer RNA is filed under the name Babesia gibsoni. RNAcentral describes it as "tRNA-Pro". It matches the Rfam family "tRNA". Rfam says of the family: Transfer RNA (tRNA) molecules are approximately 80 nucleotides in length. Their secondary structure includes four short double-helical elements and three loops (D, anti-codon, and T loops). The record is from RNAcentral. Lineage: Eukaryota; Apicomplexa; Aconoidasida; Piroplasmida; Babesiidae.
CAGAAUAUAGUGUAAAUAAACAUAUUCAUUUUGGGGAUGAAAGAUAUUGGUUUAAAUCCAUUUAUUUUGA